GUCCACGCCCUAAACGAUGGGGACUAAGUGUCGGAGGUAUCGACCCCUCCGGUGCCGCAGCUAACGCAUUAAGUCCCCGCCUGGGGAGUACGGCCGCAAGGUUGAAACUCAAAGGAAUUGACGGGGCCCGCACAAGCGGUGGAGCAUGUGGUUUAAUUCGACGCAACGCGAAGAACCUUACCCAGACUUGACAUGUGAGUGGUAGUGAACCGAAAGGGGGAACGACCCCGCAAAGGGGGAGCUCACACAGGUGCUGCAUGGCUGUCGU
RNAcentral lists this ribosomal RNA (268 nucleotides) under uncultured bacterium. Its description in RNAcentral is "partial 16S ribosomal RNA". It matches the Rfam family "Bacterial small subunit ribosomal RNA", at positions 793 to 1055 of the family's 1533-position model. The record is from RNAcentral.